UACGUAGGUGGCAAGCGUUGUCCGGAUUUACUGGGCGUAAAGGGCGUGCAGGCGGUUCGUUAAGUGCAGGGUGAAAGCUCCCGGCUCAACUGGGAGAGGUUUCUGCAUACUGGCGGACUCGAGGGAGGCAGAGGAAAGUGGAAUUCCCGGUGUAGUGGUGAUAUGCGUAGAUAUCGGGAGGAACACCUGUGGCGAAGGCGGCUUUCUGGGCCUUACCUGACGCUGAGACGCGAAGGCGUGGGGAGCGAACCGG
Molecule: ribosomal RNA, 253 nt
Filed under: uncultured bacterium
Lineage: Bacteria
Description: partial 16S ribosomal RNA
Rfam family: Bacterial small subunit ribosomal RNA
Source: RNAcentral